UACAGAGACUGCAAGCGUUAUUCGGAUUCACUGGGCGUAAAGGGUGCGCAGGCGGUUGGGUGUGUCAGGUGUGAAAUCUCGGGGCUCAACCCCGAAACUGCACUUGAUACUGUGGUGCUCGAGUACUGGAGAGGAGAUUGGAAUUUACGGUGUAGCAGUGAAAUGCGUAGAUAUCGUAAGGAAGACCAGUGGCGAAGGCGAAUCUCUGGACAGUUACUGACACUGAGGCACGAAGGCCAGGGGAGCAAACGGG
This 253-nucleotide ribosomal RNA is filed under the name uncultured bacterium. RNAcentral's name for it is "partial 16S ribosomal RNA". It matches the Rfam family "Bacterial small subunit ribosomal RNA", at positions 524 to 776 of the family's 1533-position model. The record is from RNAcentral.